This 583-nucleotide ribosomal RNA is filed under the name Salmonella enterica subsp. enterica serovar Typhimurium var. 5-. RNAcentral describes it as "bacterial LSU rRNA". It matches the Rfam family "Bacterial large subunit ribosomal RNA", at positions 628 to 1211 of the family's 2925-position model. The record is from RNAcentral. Lineage: Bacteria; Pseudomonadati; Pseudomonadota; Gammaproteobacteria; Enterobacterales; Enterobacteriaceae.
CUUAUAUUCUGUAGCAAGGUUAACCGUAUAGGGGAGCCGGAGGGAAACCGAGUCUUAACCGGGCGUUAAGUUGCAGGGUAUAGACCCGAAACCCGGUGAUCUAGCCAUGGGCAGGUUGAAGGUUGGGUAACACUAACUGGAGGACCGAACCGACUAAUGUUGAAAAAUUAGCGGAUGACCUGUGGCUGGGGGUGAAAGGCCAAUCAAACCGGGAGAUAGCUGGUUCUCCCCGAAAGCUAUUUAGGUAGCGCCUCGUGAAUUCAUCUCCGGGGGUAGAGCACUGUUUCGGCUAGGGGGCCAUCCCGGCUUACCAACCCGAUGCAAACUGCGAAUACCGGAGAAUGUUAUCACGGGAGACACACGGCGGGUGCUAACGUCCGUCGUGAAGAGGGAAACAACCCAGACCGCCAGCUAAGGUCCCAAAGUCAUGGUUAAGUGGGAAACGAUGUGGGAAGGCCCAGACAGCCAGGAUGUUGGCUUAGAAGCAGCCAUCAUUUAAAGAAAGCGUAAUAGCUCACUGGUCGAGUCGGCCUGCGCGGAAGAUGUAACGGGGCUAAACCAUGCACCGAAGCUGCGGCAGCGA